CCGGCGCACGGGUGCGUAACGCGUAUGCAAUCUACCUUUUACAGAGGGAUAGCCCAGAGAAAUUUGGAUUAAUACCUCAUAGUAUAUAGCCCUGGCAUCAGGAUUAUAUUAAAGUCGCAACGGUAAAAGAUGAGCAUGCGUCCCAUUAGCUAGUUGGUAAGGUAACGGCUUACCAAGGCUACGAUGGGUAGGGGUCCUGAGAGGGAGAUCCCCCACACUGGUACUGAGACACGGACCAGACUCCUACGGGAGGCAGCAGUGAGGAAUAUUGGACAAUGGGCGCAAGCCUGAUCCAGCCAUGCCGCGUGCAGGAUGACGGUCCUAUGGAUUGUAAACUGCUUUUAGACGAGAAGAAACACUCCUUCGUGAAGGAGCUUGACGGUAUCGUAAGAAUAAGGAUCGGCUAACUCCGUGCCAGCAGCCGCGGUAAUACGGAGGAUCCAAGCGUUAUCCGGAAUCAUUGGGUUUAAAGGGUCCGUAGGCGGUUUAAUAAGUCAGUGGUGAAAGCCCAUCGCUCAACGGUGGAACGGCCAUUGAUACUGUUAGACUUGAAUUAUUAGGAAGUAACUAGAAUAUGUAGUGUAGCGGUGAAAUGCUUAGAGAUUACAUGGAAUACCAAUUGCGAAGGCAGGUUACUACUAAUUGAUUGACGCUGAUGGACGAAAGCGUGGGUAGCGAACAGGAUUAGAUACCCUGGUAGUCCACGCCGU
RNAcentral lists this ribosomal RNA (710 nucleotides) under uncultured bacterium. RNAcentral's name for it is "bacterial SSU rRNA". It matches the Rfam family "Bacterial small subunit ribosomal RNA", at positions 95 to 803 of the family's 1533-position model. The record is from RNAcentral.